Molecule: transfer RNA, 88 nt
Filed under: Candidatus Parcubacteria bacterium
Lineage: Bacteria; Candidatus Parcubacteria
Description: tRNA-Ser
Rfam family: tRNA
About the family: Transfer RNA (tRNA) molecules are approximately 80 nucleotides in length. Their secondary structure includes four short double-helical elements and three loops (D, anti-codon, and T loops).
Source: RNAcentral
GGAGGGGUGGCUGAGUGGUUGAAAGCGCCGGUCUUGAAAACCGGAGUGGGCUUUCCGCCCACCGUGGGUUCGAAUCCCACCCCCUCCG